UGGGGAAUUUUGGACAAUGGGCGAAAGCCUGAUCCAGCAAUGCCGCGUGUGUGAAGAAGGCCUUCGGGUUGUAAAGCACUUUUGUCCGGAAAGAAAUCCUUGGCUCUAAUACAGUCGGGGGAUGACGGUACCGGAAGAAUAAGCACCGGCUAACUACGUGCCAGCAGCCGCGGUAAUACGUAGGGUGCAAGCGUUAAUCGGAAUUACUGGGCGUAAAGCGUGCGCAGGCGGUUUGCUAAGACCGAUGUGAAAUCCCCGGGCUAAACCUGGGAACUGCAUUGGUGACUGGCAGGCUAGAGUAUGGCAGAGGGGGGUAGAAUUCCACGUGUAGCAGUGAAAUGCGUAGAGAUGUGGAGGAAUACCGAUGGCGAAGGCAGCCCCCUGGGCCAAUACUGACGCUCAUGCACGAAAGCGUGGGGAGCAAACAGGAUUAGAUACCCUGGUAGUCCACGCCCUAAACGAUGUCAACUAGUUGUUGGGGAUUCAUUUCCUUAGUAACGUAGCUAACGCGUGAAGUUGACCGCCUGGGGAGUACGGUCGCAAGAUUAAAACUUAAAUGAAUUGACGGGGUCAUAGCUGUUUCCU
RNAcentral lists this ribosomal RNA (585 nucleotides) under uncultured bacterium. Its description in RNAcentral is "partial 16S ribosomal RNA". It matches the Rfam family "Bacterial small subunit ribosomal RNA", at positions 355 to 1375 of the family's 1533-position model. The record is from RNAcentral.